Molecule: transfer RNA, 72 nt
Filed under: Bos taurus (domestic cattle)
Lineage: Eukaryota; Metazoa; Chordata; Mammalia; Artiodactyla; Bovidae
Also listed under: 5 other names
Rfam family: tRNA
About the family: Transfer RNA (tRNA) molecules are approximately 80 nucleotides in length.
Source: Rfam by way of RNAcentral
UCCCUGGUGGCUCAGAAGGUUAAGCAUCUGCCUGCACUGCAGGAGACCCGGGUUUGAUCCCUGGAUUGGGAA